RNAcentral lists this ribosomal RNA (453 nucleotides) under uncultured organism. Its description in RNAcentral is "partial 16S ribosomal RNA". It matches the Rfam family "Bacterial small subunit ribosomal RNA", at positions 330 to 800 of the family's 1533-position model. The record is from RNAcentral.
CGUACACUCCUACGGGAGGCAGCAGUGGGGAAUAUUGGACAAUGGGCGCAAGCCUGAUCCAGCCAUGCCGCGUGAGUGAUGAAGGCCCUAGGGUUGUAAAGCUCUUUCACCGGUGAAGAUAAUGACGGUAACCGGAGAAGAAGCCCCGGCUAACUUCGUGCCAGCAGCCGCGGUAAUACGAAGGGGGCUAGCGUUGUUCGGAUUUACUGGGCGUAAAGCGCACGUAGGCGGACUAUUAAGUCAGGGGUGAAAUCCCGGGGCUCAACCCCGGAACUGCCUUUGAUACUGGUAGUCUUGAGUUCGAGAGAGGUGAGUGGAAUUCCGAGUGUAGAGGUGAAAUUCGUAGAUAUUCGGAGGAACACCAGUGGCGAAGGCGGCUCACUGGCUCGAUACUGACGCUGAGGUGCGAAAGCGUGGGGAGCAAACAGGAUUAGAUACCCCUGUGUCCCAUGA